CAGCGUAGGGCGCGAGCGUUGUCCGGAAUUAUUGGGCGUAAAGAGCUCGUAGGCGGCCUGUUGCGUCCGCUGUGAAAGCCCGGGGCUUAACCCCGGGUCGGCAGUGGAUACGGGCAGGCUAGAGGUAGGUAGGGGAGAAUGGAAUUCCCGGUGUAGCGGUGAAAUGCGCAGAUAUCGGGAGGAACACCGGUGGCGAAGGCGGUUCUCUGGGCCUUACCUGACGCUGAGGAGCGAAAGCGUGGGGAGCGAACAGG
RNAcentral lists this ribosomal RNA (254 nucleotides) under uncultured bacterium. Its description in RNAcentral is "partial 16S ribosomal RNA". It matches the Rfam family "Bacterial small subunit ribosomal RNA", at positions 523 to 776 of the family's 1533-position model. The record is from RNAcentral.